AAAAAUAAAAUAUUCAUUAGGGUAUUUUUCUAUUUAAAAAGUCAUAGCUUUAAAACAAAAUAAUCCAUUUCAGGCUGUAUAACAAACAGGAGUUUUGAGUUUUUCUACCAUUUUAAAACAACAAACCUACAAACUUUUUUUAAAUUCACCUCAUUUUGCAAAAUAAAAACCAAACGGCUUUUAAAAUCAACUUUUAAAAUCCAGGUUAAAACACAUUUUGCACACUAAAAAAACAACACCCUCUUAGUUUGAAACACACCGUUACCAUCAUUUUGGAGCCAUAUACUUAAAAAAAAUCCCACCUAUGUUUUACAGAGAGAGAGCGAGAGAGUUUAAAACCCACACGCAUUUAAAAGCCAAUUUCAGAAAGUUAUCUUCUACUACAGGAUAAAGUGUUGCAGGCACAUGCUUGUUCUGUCCCCCUCAAUGUGUCUUUGGGCCUUUGGAUUAAAGAACAAGCAAAAACUGUUAGUUAGUAUUAGCCCCAAAUCCCUAUACAACCUGUGUAGUACCUGAAGUUAUUAAGCAAAACUACAGUUAAAAUGGUUUUUACCUUGGCCUGGUGAUGAAAUGCAAUUUAAAGUUACUAGUUCUGUGCUAAACAGAUCACACUGCAAUAAACAUAGGCACCAUUAUUUACUAAGACAGCACAGCCAACGAGUGAUAUUAUACAAUAUAUAUUUUCAGAGUUUAAAACAGGGAGCAUACCUCCUCUUGCAGCCCAGCAGCCAUUCAAGAGUUUCUGUUGGAAAAAAACAGUCUCCAAAAUACCUGAGGUUUUCAUACCAUCCAAGCCCUUUGUUUCAAAAGGACUUCAAAAUAGUAGCUAGCAGGUUGAUUUGAUCGCUACAGCUCUGAAAUACUAGAGACUUAAGGACUUUAGGCCCCUUCCUAACAUUCCCUUUUGUGAGCUGGGGUGUGGGAAUUAAGCUGUCUGCACAACUGAGGUGCUUUCGGCUACAUUUUUUCUUUUAGUUAAAAUACAUUUUUCUGUAGGGCCUUCUUACAGUAUUAAACAUAAAUCCCCAAUCCUUAAUGUAACUGCUUCCCCCCCGUCCCAAGUGGGGACCUUUUGCAGAUAUCAAUACAUCUCUUUGGGGCUUGUUUUUUUAAAACGUUUCUUUCAUGCAUAAAGUUUGGGGUGGGGGUUGAAAUAAAAUGGUUGUAUCACAGCCAUAAUAAGCCCCCUAGAGCUUUUAAAUGUUUGAUUGUCUUUAGAGCAAAUGCUUCUUCUAAAGCAUGGUGAAGGUUUGUGACCCCUUGAAACAUUUCAGUUUUGGUUUAGACCCUUGGGGGGGGUUUGUUUGUUUGUUGUAAAUAUAUUAAUUUAAACUUUUAAUGGCUUUGAAUUGACCCAUAGCAUCCAACCAACUCCUGGGUCAUAUUUAAACUGUCCAAUAGCACUCUGUCAACUCCAGGGGUUAUAUUUAAACUGUCCAAUAACAUCUGCAAAUUCCUGAGGUUUUAUUUCAUUUCAUAUUAAUCAAAACUCACCCACCCACCUCCCUUACUAUGGGUGCACACCAAUCAAAUUUAUCCCUAUGGCAACAACGAUAAGUAGUCACAGUUACCUUCACUAUUCAGUGGGGGUGUGGUUAAAACCAUUCAGUUCAACAGGAUGAGUCAACUCUAUUGUACUCAAACACAUGUCUGAACCAUCCCUGUUUGUUUUACUGUUGUAAGCAGAGUCAGGGUGAGAUCUACCCUGACAUUUGGUGGUGAGUUGUGGAAAAGAAUGUCAGGGGUUGAUCUCGUUUGCACAGGCACACCCACCCCGCCUAGCAUGAGCCCACAGUAGCCCAAAUGGUCACUUUGGCUGCUGUGGAAUCCCCAGUUUCUCUGUUAUUGAGGCAGGAAGAAUAAAGUCUUGUUAUCCUGAUUAUGUGAAUCAAGGACAGUGGAACUGUACUUGGCCUUUUAUGACGGAGGGACUCGCCAUCAACUAAGUAGCACUCGCUAGGCAAGGGACAUGGGUUCCAAAACUCAGCAAAUUGAGAGAGGCUGGGGACAGGUAUUUGUACCUGGUGGGCCCCAGACACUAAUUCCAUCUCUUCUUCCUGUCUCCACUGUGAAAUGUUAGUGCUAAUUUUGAUUCCAUGAAGAGUCUGAUUACAGACUGCAGAGCUGAAUUCACUUUGGGCUAAUGGUGAACCAGCACUGAGUCCUCCCUACUACUUAACACAGUAAGUGGUGAUUUUAGCUUGUAGUAGGGGAGCCUCAGUGCCCCACUGGCUGAGGGCUUGAGCCAGUUUUGCAUUGUGUUAUUGGAAUGGAGUUCCUAGCAACUGAACGCAGCUCUUGUUGCUGCCAACUCUGAUGGGCAGAAUGGUUACACUGUAAACACAUUUUUAGGAUUUUUCUCCUCCCACAACAUACAUUUCAGCUUUUUGCUGUAAAUGGGUCUUUUUUACACAAAACCACAAAAGUUAGAUUCUCACAAACCAUUUUUUUUAAUUUAAAAGACAUACAGCUUCUUGAAAACAAACCAAGAGGCUCCAUUAAAACUUUUAGCUCACUUAAGGGCCAGAGACCUUCUAACAGAAAUGCAUAUAGUCACAGAGCCCUUUUCAAUAGAUGUUUUUUUUUAAAUUUACAUAUUUAAAUUUACAAAUUUACAUAUAAAGUUGAAGUCCAAAUCACACAGUCAUGGUGCCAUUGGGCUGGGGCAUCUAUGACAUAGCCCUCACAAUCUUCAAAAAGCUUUUCCCUAAGACAGUUAUUAAGAACAGCAUAAACAGCAACGCAUACGAUUGUCCACAUACAUUUUUACACUCACAAUGUGGCACUGGCUCAGCGAGUUCCAUGCCAAACCUUCUCCUAAACUCCUUAUAACCUUCAUCCUCGAAGUCCUCUUCAACAAUUUUUAGCGGCGUUCAGCAAAAACAAGGCGGGCCCGGUUCAUCUUUGCUGCUUGAUGCAACGUUGUCCAGGGCCUCCGGGUCCUCUAGAAAGGCAUCAUCGAGCUGUCUUAGACAAGAAACAAGUGUAAGUUCUCACUGCUUGUUAUUUAGAUUUACACAACCCCAGGUUCCUAACCUCAUUACAUCUCAUCAUCAACUGUCGCUUCUUAAUCAUUCAUUUACCUGAGCGACGUCUUUUCCGUUCAGCUUGUCCGCCGGUAACUCCCCCAAGCAAUGAUCGCCUUCCUCCUCCAGGGUGGUGGACAACGAGAGGCCACCAUGCUCAUUGGUGUGUCUCAUGAAUGGUUGGGCUUUGGGUUCAGGUUCUGGCGUACCCAUCAAUGGCUCGGCCAAAGGAAUCCCCUCGGCUGUUCCCUCAACUUCUUUGGAACUGUUGCUGCUGUAGCACUUUCUCCACACGAGUCCAAAGGUCCGCGGGGCUAAAACAAAGUCUGAAGUUCUCAGGGGGGUGGUAAAGGAGUCCACGUUUCCUCUCAGCCUUUCCACAAUUUCUGAAACAUGUCUUCUUGGUAAGAGAUCGCCUUCUCUGUCCAGCUCUGGGACUUGUGGGGUGAUGGUGAUGCACUCUGAUUGGCAGAGGGCAUUGGAAGGAGUUCUUAGAGGGGUCACACAACCCUCUUCUGGGUGGUCACCCCAUCCCAGAACCUGCCCUGUUUUGGUCAAAUCUCCUUUCGGGGCAGUCCUCUGCAGCCGAAACCCAUCGCGACUGGUAGAGGGUGGUGGGACGAGUUCCUAGAGGGGGUCACACGAACCACUUCUGGAUGGUCACCCAGCCCCAGAAUUCCCCCCAAUUGGUUUAAUCUCCUCUCAGGGUCCUCUCUAGUGGCUGAAGUCCCUCCUGAUUGGUAGAGGGCAGUGGGAGGAGUUCUUAGAGGGGUCACACAAACCCCAGAACUCCCCCUGGUUGGUUAAAUCUUCUCUCGGGGCGUUCCUAUCGGGGCAAAAUCUAUCCUGAUUGGUAUAGUGGAAGGAGUUCUUAGAGGGGUCACAUGACACACCUUGCUUCCAGUCAUGUGUCUGCCUUGACCCCAGAAGUAAUACCCCCAUGGGGUGGGGCUUCUGAUGACCAGCGGGCAGGGCUUAUUGGGUCAAGGGAUGGGGUUAAGUUUUGAUUGACAGUAGGGCCCUUAUACUCCUCGCUGCUGCUACCCAAAAUUGGAAGAAGACAGAGGCAACUAUAAUACUGGGCAGUAUUCGCCGUUGUCCUACUGCUCAGAUGCUGUGCUGGCCAUGUAUCUCACAAACAAGAUCAUAUGUAAAUAACCCAGCUCCAGAUUUUGUAUAUACUGUGUACAUAUUUCCUAUUAAACUGUUUUUGAAGUAUC
Long non-coding RNA from Mauremys mutica (yellowpond turtle), 4246 nucleotides. RefSeq lists it as uncharacterized. The transcript has 2 exons. Lineage: Eukaryota; Metazoa; Chordata; Testudines; Geoemydidae. The record is from RefSeq and is a predicted model, not a curated record.